RNAcentral lists this ribosomal RNA (449 nucleotides) under uncultured bacterium. RNAcentral's name for it is "bacterial SSU rRNA". It matches the Rfam family "Bacterial small subunit ribosomal RNA", at positions 29 to 524 of the family's 1533-position model. The record is from RNAcentral.
AAUGAACGCUGGCGGCAGGCCUAACACAUGCAAGUCGAACGAGGUAGCAAUACCUAGUGGCGGACGGGUGAGUAACACGUGGGAACGUACCCUUUGCUACGGAAUAGCCCUGGGAAACUGGGAGUAAUACCGUAUGAGCCCGAGAGGGGAAAGAUUUAUCGGCAAAGGAUCGGCCCGCGUUGGAUUAGGUAGUUGGUGGGUAAUGGCCUACCAAGCCGACGAUCCAUAGCUGGUUUGAGAGGAUGAUCAGCCACACUGGGACUGAGACACGGCCCAGACUCCUACGGGAGGCAGCAGUGGGGAAUCUUAGACAAUGGGGGAAACCCUGAUCUAGCCAUGCCGCGUGAUCGAUGAAGGCCUUAGGGUUGUAAAGAUCUUUCAGGUGGGAAGAUAAUGACUGUACCACCAGAAGAAGCCCCGGCUAACUCCGUGCCAGCAGCCGCGGUAAU